CCUACGGGCGGCAGCAGUGGGGAAUAUUGCACAAUGGGGGAAACCCUGAUGCAGCGACGCCGCGUGAGCGAUGCAGUAUUUCGGUAUGUAAAGCUCUAUCAGCAGGGAAGAAAAUGACGGUACCUGACUAAGAAGCCCCGGCUAACUACGUGCCAGCAGCCGCGGUAAUACGUAGGGGGCAAGCGUUAUCCGGAUUUACUGGGUGUAAGGGGAGCGUGGACGGUCCUGCAAGCCAGAUGUGAAAGGCCGGGGCUCAACCCCGGGACUGCAUUUGGAACUGUACGGCUAGAGUGUCGGAGAGGUAGGUGGAAUUCCUAGUGUAGCGGUGAAAUGCGUAGAUAUUAGGAGGAACACCAGUGGCGAAGGCGGCUUGCUGGACGGUGACUGACGUUGAGGCUCGAAAGCGUGGGGAGCAAACAGGAUUAGAUACCCCGGUAGUC
Molecule: ribosomal RNA, 440 nt
Filed under: uncultured bacterium
Lineage: Bacteria
Description: partial 16S ribosomal RNA
Rfam family: Bacterial small subunit ribosomal RNA
Source: RNAcentral